Molecule: ribosomal RNA, 443 nt
Filed under: uncultured bacterium
Lineage: Bacteria
Description: partial 16S ribosomal RNA
Rfam family: Bacterial small subunit ribosomal RNA
Source: RNAcentral
CCUACGGGAGGCAGCAGUGGGGAAUAUUGGGCAAUGGGCGCAAGCCUGACCCAGCAACGCCGCGUGAAGGAAGAAGGCUUUCGGGUUGUAAACUUCUUUUCUGAGGGACGAAGAAAGUGACGGUACCUCAGGAAUAAGCCACGGCUAACUACGUGCCAGCGGCCGCGGUAAUACGUAGGUGGCAAGCGUUAUCCGGAUUUAUUGGGUGUAAAUGGCGUGUAGGCGGGAAAGAAAGUACGAUGUGAAAACUCAGGGCUCAACCCUGAGCCUGCAUUUGAAACUGUUUUUCUUGAGUGCUGGAGAGGCAAUCGGAAUUCCGUGUGUAGUGGUGAAAUGCGUAGAUAUACGGAGGAACACCAGUGGCGAAGGCGGAUUGCUGGACAGUAACUGACGCGGAGGCGCGAAAGCGUGGGGAGCAAACAGGAUUAGAUACCCGGGUAGUC